GAGUUUGAUCUUGGCUCAGGACGAACGCUGGCGGCGUGCUUAACACAUGCAAGUCACGGGGGCCCGGUGGCAACAUCGGGCAACCGGCGAACGGGUGCGUAACACGUGAGCAAGCUACCGAUUUGUGGGGGAUAGCCGGCCCAACGGCCGGGUAAUACCGCAUACGUUCACUAGGCGGCAUCGUCUGGUGAGGAAACCUCCGGGGCAAAUCGAGGCGCUCGCGGCCUAUCAGCUAGUUGGCGGGGUAACGGCCACCAAGGCAUUGACGGUAGCUGGUCUGAGAGGAUGGCCAGCCACAUUGGGACUGCGACACGGCCCAGACUCCUACGGGAGGCAGCAGUGGGGAAUAUUGCGCAAUGGACGAAAGUCUGACGCAGCGACGCCGCGUGUGGGAUGACGCCUUUCGGGGUGUAAACCACUGUUGCCCGGGACGAAACUCCUUUUUCGAGAGGAUUGACGGUACCGGGUGAGGAAGCACCGGCUAACUCUGUGCCAGCCGCCGCCGUAAC
Molecule: ribosomal RNA, 509 nt
Filed under: uncultured Gemmatimonadota bacterium
Lineage: Bacteria; Pseudomonadati; Gemmatimonadota
Description: bacterial SSU rRNA
Rfam family: Bacterial small subunit ribosomal RNA
Source: RNAcentral